UCCCUUUUAUAAUACAAAGAAGGGAAAAAUAAAAGGAAAGAAAAAUUGCCUACCAAAUCUAAAGAUUACAAUAAUCAAUCACUCCAUUAAUAACUACUCUAACUAUGGAAAUAAAUAAUUCAUAAACCUAUUUCUAAAAUUAUUGUGAUUUCAUCACUCCCCCUCAAGUUGGAUCAUAAAUGUUUAUCAUAUCCAACUUGAAAAUGAAAUCAUCAAAUUUCUGUCUUGAUAGUCCCUUGGUGAAGAU
RNAcentral lists this long non-coding RNA (247 nucleotides) under Olea europaea (common olive). RNAcentral's name for it is "long non-coding RNA (OEUR_LNC005396)". The record is from RNAcentral. Lineage: Eukaryota; Viridiplantae; Streptophyta; Magnoliopsida; Lamiales; Oleaceae.